This 585-nucleotide ribosomal RNA is filed under the name uncultured bacterium. RNAcentral describes it as "bacterial SSU rRNA". It matches the Rfam family "Bacterial small subunit ribosomal RNA", at positions 338 to 916 of the family's 1533-position model. The record is from RNAcentral.
CCUACGGGAGGCAGCAGUGGGGAAUUUUGGACAAUGGGGGCAACCCUGAUCCAGCCAUGCCGCGUGCGGGAAGAAGGCCUUCGGGUUGUAAACCGCUUUUAGCCGGGACGAAAAGGCAGGGGCUAAUACCUUCUGUUGUUGACGGUACCGGCGGAAUAAGCACCGGCUAACUACGUGCCAGCAGCCGCGGUAAUACGUAGGGUGCGAGCGUUAAUCGGAAUUACUGGGCGUAAAGCGUGCGCAGGCGGUUCGUUGUGUCGGUGGUGAAAGCCCCGGGCUCAACCUGGGAAUGGCCAUGGAAACUGGCGAACUGGAGUGUGGCAGAGGGGGGUGGAAUUCCGCGUGUAGCAGUGAAAUGCGUAGAGAUGCGGAGGAACACCGAUGGCGAAGGCAGCCCCCUGGGCUAGCACUGACGCUCAGGCACGAAAGCGUGGGGAGCAAACAGGAUUAGAUACCCUGGUAGUCCACGCCCUAAACGAUGUCAACUGGGUGUUCGGGAAGCGAUUUCUGAGUACCGUAGCUAACGCGUGAAGUUGACCGCCUGGGGAGUACGGCCGCAAGGUUAAAACUCAAAGGAAUUGACGG